CCUACGGGGGGCAGCAGUGAGGAAUAUUGGUCAAUGGGCGCAGGCCUGAACCAGCCAAGUAGCGUGAAGGAUGACUGCCCUAUGGGUUGUAAACUUCUUUUAUAAAGGAAUAAAGUCGGGUAUGCAUACCCGUUUGCAUGUACUUUAUGAAUAAGGAUCGGCUAACUCCGUGCCAGCAGCCGCGGUAAUACGGAGGAUCCGAGCGUUAUCCGGAUUUAUUGGGUUUAAAGGGAGCGUAGGCCGGAGAUUAAGCGUGUUGUGAAAUGUAGACGCUCAACGUCUGCACUGCAGCGCGAACUGGUUUCCUUGAGUACGCACAAAGUGGGCGGAAUUCGUGGUGUAGCGGUGAAAUGCUUAGAUAUCACGAAGAACUCCGAUUGCGAAGGCAGCCUGCUAAGCUGCAACUGACAUUGAGGCUCGAAAG
This 424-nucleotide ribosomal RNA is filed under the name uncultured Bacteroides sp. Its description in RNAcentral is "bacterial SSU rRNA". It matches the Rfam family "Bacterial small subunit ribosomal RNA", at positions 338 to 759 of the family's 1533-position model. The record is from RNAcentral. Lineage: Bacteria; Pseudomonadati; Bacteroidota; Bacteroidia; Bacteroidales; Bacteroidaceae.